AACCGGAUUAGAUACCCUGGUAGUCCAUGUCGUAAACGUUGGGCACUAGGUGUGGGGACCAUUCCACGGUUUCCGCGCCGCAGCUAACGCAUUAAGUGCCCCGCCUGGGGAGUACGGCCGCAAGGCUAAAACUCAAAGGAAUUGACGGGGGCCCGCACAAGCGGCGGAGCAUGCGGAUUAAUUUGAUGCAACGCGAAGAACCUUACCAAGGCUUGACAUGUUCUCGAUCGCCGUAGAGAUACGGUUUCCCCUUUGGGGCGGGUUCACAGGUGGUGCAUGGUUGUCGUCAGCUCGUGUCGUGAGAUGUUGGGUUAAGUCCCGCAACGAGCGCAACCCUCGUUCCAUGUUGCCAGCACGUCGUGGUGGGGACUCAUGGGAGACUGCCGGGGUCAACUCGGAGGAAGGUGAGGACGACGUCAAAUCAUCAUGCCCCUUAUGUCUUGGGCUUCACGCAUGCUACAAUGGCCGGUACAAUGGGUUGCGAUACUGUGAGGUGGAGCUAAUCCCAAAAAGCCGGUCUCAGUUCGGAUUGGGGUCUGCAACUCGACCCCAUGAAGUCGGAGUCGCUAGUAAUCGCAGAUCAGCAACGCUGCGGUGAAUACGUUCCCGGGCCUUGUACACACCGCCCGUCAAGUCACGAAAGUUGGUAACACCCGAAGCCGGUGGCCUAACCCUUGUGGGGGGAGCCGUCGAAGGUGGGACCAGCGAUUGGGACUAAGUCGUAACAAGGUAGCC
Molecule: ribosomal RNA, 735 nt
Filed under: uncultured Micrococcus sp.
Lineage: Bacteria; Bacillati; Actinomycetota; Actinomycetes; Micrococcales; Micrococcaceae
Description: bacterial SSU rRNA
Rfam family: Bacterial small subunit ribosomal RNA
Source: RNAcentral